UCUAUCCAAACAUCUUCCAUUUUCAGCCAAAUUUGUACAAAUCUUCCUUCUGCAAUAAUGCAAGUGUUUCAGCACGCAUACCCGAUUCACUGUUUCUGCCAUGUAUUUCAUCAACUGCAUAGAUCAGCCACAGAAAGAGGACAAAGACUGGAUUUUUAACUGCAUAACCUUGUAAUAAAAACUUUACUGUGAAAAAGAAUUUGAUGAGUUAUCAUUAUAUUAGUUCCCCCUCAAUUCUUAGCCUUUGGUUUUGCCAACCAUAUCUUAAAUUCCUUUAAAUUUUAUUAGUGUAUCUGUAAUGUGGUCAUUUUUUUAAUCAUUUGUCAUAUUUUCCCAAAAUUAAUCUAACUCAACAGAAUCUUGUUCAAUUCAACAGCAGUUAAAAGAACCAUUUGUUGCCUCACUUGAAAUUGAGUUUUGCAGUACCUGAAAUUUAAAAAGGUAGAUGCAAUACCCCAUUAUGAAAACUAUCAAAAUCCAUGGCCUAAAGCACAUUUACAGAAAGGGUUUAAAUUUACACAUGAAAUGCAUAUAUUGUUGGGAUAUGCAUGGUAAUAAAAUGAUCGGUUUUGAGAGUUUUGCACGUUUGUUGUAUUCUGGGGUUACAACUAGUUACACUUGAAAACAAUGUGACAAUCUAUGAUGAUCAAGUUUUAUACAGUUUGUUAAUUGCUCUUGGACGGUAGAGAAUGUGUCUGUACCAGAGGAAUGUUGACUUGAAUAAGCCUAAACUAUUAGGUCCACUAGUUCAAUGAAUAGUGUCCUUCAAUGCAUAGCUGUACUCCUAUUAUUACCUCACUACCAUUCACUCUACCUGGCUAAAGAACAAAAUGAAGUUUCCUCUGUUAAGAAUAAUUUAUGUUAAAGAUAAAGACUGAACACUCUUUUCAUAUCUUUUACAAAUUGAAGGCCUUCACACCUAAUAAGACUUUCAUAUUUGUCUUAAAAGUAUUCAAAAGUAUGCAAAAACAAGCGCCAAAAAUAUUGCACCAAAGAACAAAAUAAUGUAACUUUUGGGAAUUUUGGACAUGUGGUCUGUUAAAGUUGAUAGCAAACAAUGACACCACAAAUUCCAACAUUUUCCAAAUUGGCACCCUUUGAGUCUGCAAAGGUGAAUUUCAGCAAGGUGGAACAAGUUUUCAACCCUUUGGAGCAGGACAGAAAUAUUUUAUUCAAUAGAAAUUUCUUGGAUUAUCUUUUUAUUGUGUUGUUUCAACGCUUGUGAAUAAGUAAUGGAAAAAGAAAUGCACAGGCACGACUAUUUCAUGGAAUUUUUAUAUAUAAGUCUGUUUGUGCACUGUUUUCCUAUCAAAUAUUUUCCCUUCCUUCUCUUAGUCUGCUCUGCCAACUCUGUGGGUUCUGUUUUAGAGAGUCCAAUUCCAAUCCUAUCAUUGAAGUGAAAUUCUGUGAGGCAAAGCAAAAUGGGGUGCCAGCCAUUGGAAAAGGGAAAACCAAAACAUAAGAAGGGGUUAUGGUCACCUGAAGAAGACAAUAAGCUCAGAAACUACAUCCUUAAACAUGGUCAUGGCUGUUGGAGUUCUGUCCCCAUUAAGGCAGGUUGGUUUCUUUCUUCUUUCCUGGUUGUGACCUUUUGUCAAUCAUACCACAGUUUCCUUGGAUUUACUACACAAAGGGGCAUUGUUCCAUACUCUUAGUACUGUUAAAGUUAUUAAAUGGAGACAUCCCUGGUCUUCCUUAAGAAAGGUCUCUCUUCCUUGAUAUGAAAGUAUGUCUACUACUUAUUUGAGCAAAUAUUAUGUUAUCAAAUUGAAAUGUGGGCAUCUUUGACUGAUUUUAACAUCAAUAAAUUUCAGAUGUCUUAAUAAGCUUUUCUUUGCCCUUGUUUGAAUUAAUUCUAAUAAAUUUAUCCAAUCAAUUCUGGGUAUGAAAAGGAUACAUUGGUAAGUAGAGUAAUACUGGUGCCAUGAAGUGUAUUUGGCAUGAUAAGAAAAUUUUACUCAUUUUCUAUUUUAAAAAUAUCACACUUAGACUUCUUGACAAAAGAGACUGUUGUAAAGAUAAAAAAAAAGUUAAUGACUUGGUAGUUACUAAAAAUCCAUAAUCCUCCUUGCUGAAGUAAUUUGAUAAUUCUGGCUUGUAAUUUUAACAUCUCAUGGUAAGACUAAACGGGCAUUUUGUGUAAAAGUAUAUUUGCUGACAAAAAUCAAGUGUUAUAGUCAAACCAACAGACAUUUAUAUAAUAUUUUCAAUGUUUACCUGAUAUUGAUGGAACAAAUACAUUUAUGUAAAGGCUUGCAAAGGAAUGGAAAGAGUUGCAGACUAAGAUGGAUAAACUAUCUAAGGCCAGGAUUAAAGAGAGGGAAGUUCAGCAAACAGGAAGAAGAGACAAUCCUGACCCUUCACCACAUGCUAGGCAACAAGUAAGCCACAAGAGUAAAUCUUCUUUCACUUUAUCAAUUUAGAAGUUCCAGUUUUAUAAUUCUGUAAUUUUCAGUCAAAAUAUUGAUAAAGACAUGUCAGGAGUAGCUGUCAAAUGUUAAUUAUGUUUUAAUUAGAACAAGAAAUUAUGCAAAGUAAAGGAAAAGACAAAGUCCUGUAGUUCAAUAUUUGAGGCUUAAGCUAGGGAAUGCAAAUUGGAAUGCAAGGAGUUUAAUAUUUAAUUCUGUUUUAGAAAAGCAACUAGGGUGUUUACAAUGAAAAAUAAAGGAAGAAUUGGUAAGUCAAUCCAUGAAUUGGCUUUAGAUGCCAUGCUUCAUUUUUUUAAGAGGGAUGAACAUUGAAAACAAAAAGUCUAUUAUACUAUUCUACUAUUCCUCAAUUCUGUUGUAUAUUUAAUUUAAAUCCAGUCCAAUACCAUUUGUCCAGUGUUUCAGAUUGUCCCUUCGUAUAUUCCAAUUAGUAAGCAUCAAACAUUUUACACAUCGAAGACAAACUGUUCACAUAAAGAAUGUGUGUCUGUGAAACUUAGAACAGGAAUUCAGAACUACUGUUUAAACUCUUUGUUAUAAUAAUUUCUUUCACUUGUAGUGAAGAUUGAUGAGAAAAACUUGAAUUAUAUUAUUGGCCAGGUGGUCACAGAUAUCACAGCAUUUGCCAGGAAGAACAGACAAUGAGAUUAAAAACUACUGGCAUUCAUAUUUGAAAAAGAAAGUGGCCAAAGCUAAGGAAAUGGAUUUUCAUAACCAAAUGAAGUAUGCUAGCUCAAGCUCAGAUACCAUGGACUCUUCAAAUUCUCUCCAAAAACUUGCAACUCAAGGUACACAGAAUUUUAACUUCACCAAUGAGGCUUGUCAGAGCUCCUUACCAAAAUUGUUAUUUGCUGAGUGGCUUUCAUUGGAUCAAGUAAACUCUGCAAAUACAGUUGACUCUUUUGGUUUGAGGAAUGGACUUGAUCAAAAUUCAACUCUUGAGGAAG
RNAcentral lists this long non-coding RNA (3376 nucleotides) under Phaseolus vulgaris (common bean). RNAcentral describes it as "long non-coding RNA (PVUL_LNC002027)". The record is from RNAcentral. Lineage: Eukaryota; Viridiplantae; Streptophyta; Magnoliopsida; Fabales; Fabaceae.